UACGAAGGGUGCAAGCGUUAUUCGGAUUUAUUGGGCGUAAAGGGUUCGUAGGCGGGAUUGUAAGUCAAGUGUGAAAUCCCCGAGCUUAACUCGGGACGUGCAUUCGAAACUGUGAUUCUUGAAUCAUAGAGAGGGUGGUGGAAUUGUUGGUGUAGGAGUGACAUCCGUAGAGAUCAACAGGAACAUCAGAGGCGAAAGCGGCCACCUGGCUAUGUAUUGACGCUGAGGAACGAAAGCGUGGGGAGCAAACAGG
Molecule: ribosomal RNA, 253 nt
Filed under: uncultured bacterium
Lineage: Bacteria
Description: partial 16S ribosomal RNA
Rfam family: Bacterial small subunit ribosomal RNA
Source: RNAcentral